AAAUAAGAAGUAAAAUUUUACAUUUAGUUUCGACCUAAAAAUUGGUAUUAAAAAUAAUACCCUUAUUUA
Molecule: transfer RNA, 69 nt
Filed under: Bradycellus ruficollis
Lineage: Eukaryota; Metazoa; Arthropoda; Insecta; Coleoptera; Carabidae
Description: tRNA-Arg
Source: RNAcentral